AUUCUAUUUAAUGUAUUUAUCUUUGAAUGAUGCUCGAUUGGUGUUCUGUAUGUCAUGAGCCAAUCAACACUUUGCCCGUUAUUUUCUUAAUUGGCUGAAUUUUUAUUUAGGAUUGGUUAAUACGUAUUUUGAAAAAGAAAGGAUGUAUGGUAGUUUGAUCUAGAUAAGAUUUCGAAUCUUUGCGACACGUUAAAUGAAAUUUUAGAAGUUACAUCGUUUAUCACUGUGAUAUAUGCAGAACAUUUGAGUGUAGUAAAAUGUCACGCCCAUGGCUGCCUUCACUGAAAGAAAUUGGAGGGGAUGCUGAACGGGCAUUUAAGGAGUUACAUUCCUGUUGGGACAAAGAAAAUCUCAGCAAGGAUGAAAAGUGUAAAAACAUUGCAGCAAUUCGUCAAGAACUAUCUCCCACUACAUCACUCAACUGUGAUGACUUUCAGCCCACCACAGCUUUUCUGGCAAGAAAAAAUACAUGAAGGAAAGCUCAGUGUAUUGAAGUAUGAGGUAAAAAAUAUACGAGCUGAAAUAGAGAUCUGGUGGGAGAAGUGUUUCCUCAGUGAAGAUGAGAAACAAGAAUUUGAGGAUUAUAAAUCAAUAAAUUACACAGAUCAACUGUAUGGUUGCCAUGUAGAAGAAUUAGAAAGACUGAAAAGAAAAUUUUAUAGAAAUGAAUCUUUAUAUCUUCUAAUCAAAAAACACCAGGACACAUGGGAACGUGUAGUGAACAUGGAUAAACAGUUAUAUAAUCCAGAGAGAUUAUUUCAAAAUAGAGGUGCUCAAUUGUUGCAAGAAGAGAGAGACAGGCGGGCUGCACAGAAGGAUUUACCACAUCUUGAAGAACUAAUAAAGAAGGAGACAGAAUUAUUUGAACGUGAGCAUGGAAGACCAUUCUUAAUAUAUGGAAAAUGUUUCUCUGACAUGAUUUUACAUCAGAAGGAGCUGCAUAAAGAGAAUCAGAAGUCACUUAAGAGUGCCAGGAAGAAGUGUGAGAAUUGCUGUGCUCCUUCAAAUGCAGCUAAGAUGACAACUUCAAUAUCCAAACUGAAAAGGAAACUUGAUAACCCACCCAGUCCAGUUGCAGUGCAGACUAAACAAGCAAGGGUAGCAUCAUGUGACAAACUUGGCUCCCGUCGUGGUGAAGUCUGUGGUCCAAAACUUCGCUUGCCAGUCCGACGGAAGCUGAUUGAGAGGACAGUUAAUGUUCCUGUCAUACAACCUUAACACAGUCUUGUAUUUCACUCCAAACCAUUUCAGUUUGGAUUCAUACAGCUACAACCUUAUACUUUCCAGGAUCUGACACUGCACAAUAUCAAAGUAGUGUGUGUCAAUGUCUCAGCUUUGUUAUUGUCUCAGUACUCAAAUCCUACUUCAUCAAAUGAAACAUAAACUAUGCAAGAUCAAGGCCAUAACAGUAACAAUUAUGCACAUGCCUGAAAUAUGAGGAAGUUUUACUUUUCAAUUGGGUUUAAAUACACUGGUAUUAAAUACUUAUAUUAAAUGUAAAUGUAGCUCUUUGUCUUUAAGUCUGAGAAAUUAGUGUGAAUUGGGUGAUAAUUCAUUCACAUGAAAUCUAGGACAACACCUGUUUUCUAGAUUUUGUGCAAUUGGAUUAUUGUUAACUUUGUAAAUUAGCUUUCCUUUUAGUUGAAACAGAUGAGACAUCAUCAUGGUCAGCAUGCUAAAUAUUGUUUUUAUUAUGACAGCACUGAAUUUAAAUGAAAUAAUGUACUUUAACAUCAGUGACAUGAAACUUUGACUUCUUGUAUUCAACUCGAUACCUUACUCGAAAAACAACCUACAAUUUUAAUGAAAAUAAUUAUAUACUGUUUUUACCAUAUCAAUUUUCACACUUUUUAUUUGUACAGUUUUUGUGUGUCACAGUGUGGCAGAAACAUGUGGUUGAUU
Zootermopsis nevadensis is the source of this 1902-nucleotide non-coding RNA. NCBI's taxonomy places the organism in Eukaryota, Metazoa, Arthropoda, Insecta, Blattodea, Termopsidae. The record is from RefSeq and is a predicted model, not a curated record.